Molecule: long non-coding RNA, 2092 nt
Filed under: Sus scrofa (pig)
Lineage: Eukaryota; Metazoa; Chordata; Mammalia; Artiodactyla; Suidae
Description: lncRNA (ENSSSCG00000061320.1, ENSSSCG00105014455.1, ENSSSCG00110001488.1)
Source: RNAcentral
GGGCACCUGUGAUUGCCAAAAGGCUCUGAAGGCAAUUCCGGUGAAAGUGGAGGUGCGGUGGGAAGGGAGGAACAGAGCAGAUGUGGAGGUGGGUGAGGCCUGGGAGCGGAGAGGUUGAUGGGAAGCAGGGGACUUGGUGACCGAGUCGGAAGAGGGACCACAGCGAUGCACGUGGCAAGGGUGAUGCUCUGGUCAGAGGUUAAAGGGAGGGGCAGAUUCUGAGGGGACAUCUGAGUGAAAUCAGUAUAAUUCCCUUGCUCACUGAUUCUGGUUCGGAGGACCUGAAGUUCCAGACCUAAUGGAAGCAUCAGCCUGCAGGACUGACAGCAAAGGCAGGGGCUGCAUCACCUCCGCGCUCUGAGCUUCAGUGUCUCAGCCCUAGAAUGGGGGGGAUAAGUUUACCUUGUGCAAAUGGUGUAAGGUUUUGAGUCAACACACAUAGUGAGGGCUUGAGAGAGGAUGCUGUGGCGUGUCUGCCCUGCUGUGCCAGCCAGAUCCCACCCCCUCUCCUCCCCUCUACCUCCCCAUCUCUCCCGCCCCCCAUGCCACCCCCCGCCCCAGGACAGGAGCAUUUACUUCCCCAGUCGCUGGGCAUGUUGGUGGCUGAUGGUUGACAGAGAGAGCCCUGACUCCCCCAAGGUCGGCCACAUCCUGGGACAGGUGGAUGUCAGUGUCCAAAGGCUCAGCUCCCCUGCCGAGUUGAGACAAGUCUGAAGCACCAGCCCAGCUUCAGAGCUCCGCGUGGGAUAAACCAAGGGUUUGUUGUGAUUGCACCACAGCCCAGCCUCUCUCUGUCUAAUCCUGCUUCCUUCGUUACCCCCGACAGGACAGCUUUUAUUCCCAAGCACACUCCCCAGUAAACUUCCUGUGUGUGAUUCUCCAUCUCUGAGCCUGCUUCCCAGGGAACCCACCUAUGAUGGAUGGUAGUAUUUUGGCCACUAGAAUAUCAGGUGUUUCCCAAUGGCUGGAAUCUUAGACAUUAUUCUGCGAAGUUUCAGAAGUUGAGAAGGAAAGCACUGUUCUAGAGGACUGGCCUGUGGGUCACGGGUUUCUCAAGCGUGUUAGAGAUUCUUUUUUGUGCCACGGACCCUCUCUUAGACUGAUGUUUAUAAAUGCAUAAAACAAAUACAUGGGAUUGUAAAGGAAACCCAUUUUAUUGAAACAUAGUCAUCAAACUGUCACAAAAUAGACUAUGACUAUGAGUAUCUGAUAUAGCAAUAUGGAAAUUAUUGUGAUACAGUAAUACAGUUAAUGAAAGAUCUAUCAGUGGGUCUAAAAAUCUAGAAAAACGAUGUAUUGAUGAUAUCUCAAGAUGUCUGGAGCAGUUGUAGUGUGAUGUGAAGAUAUCUGGCUUCAACUGAUCAGAAAUUGCGGGGUUUGCAAAUACUAAGGUCAGUGAAAAUAAAGAUGUCAUUUCCACUCCCACCCCCCACCAUAACCAUGGACCCUCUACAUUCUGUGCAUGGAAGCUCAGAGGGUCUGUGAACCUUUGGUUUUAAAAAAAAGCCUUGGUGGAGUUCUCUGGUGGCACAGUGGGUUCGGGAUCUGGCACUGACACUGCAGCGGCUGGGGUCACUGCUGUGGUGCUGGUUUGAUCCCUGGCCCUAGAACUUCUGCGGGCCGUGGGCAUGGCCAAAAGCAAGCAAGCAAACAAACAAAAGCAGCUUCGGUAUCAUGAAAUCUGUAAUCUACUUUCAGAUAUUUACUUCUAGAUGGUUCGGCCAGUUAGGAAUCCACACUCCAGGGGUGAUGGAUAACAUUAGAUCAGAAGGGUCACACCUCAAGGCACCUGCUGCCAGCUCUUCUGUUUUGUCUCUGGUCAAUGCCAAAUGUCUUACUAAAUAGCACAGAGAAUGGCAAAGGGGGGUCUUAUGGUUCCUGUCGUGGCUCAGUGGUUAACGAAUCCGACUAGGAACCAUGAAUUUGCGGGUUUGAUCCCUGCCUGGCCUUGCUCGGUGGGUUAAGGAUCCGGCGUUGUCGUGAGCUGUGGUGUAGGUUGCAGAUGCAGCUCGGAUCCUGCGUUGCUGUGUUUCUGGUGUAGGCCGGUGGCUACAGCUCUGAUUAGACUCCUGGCCUGGGAACCUCCAUAUGC